This 366-nucleotide ribosomal RNA is filed under the name uncultured bacterium. RNAcentral describes it as "partial 16S ribosomal RNA". It matches the Rfam family "Bacterial small subunit ribosomal RNA", at positions 338 to 696 of the family's 1533-position model. The record is from RNAcentral.
CCUACGGGGGACAGCAGUGGGGAAUAUUGCGCAAUGGGCGAAAGCCUGACGCAGCGACGCCGCGUGAGGGAUGACGGUCUUCGGAUCGUUAACCUCUGUCUGCAGGGAAGUACGGCCACUGUGCUAUUCAGCAGUGCAUUGACGGUACCUGCAAGGGAAGCCCCGGCUAACUCCGUGCCCGCAGCCGCGGUAAUACGGAGGGUGCGAGCGUUAAUCGGAAUUACUGGGCGUAAAGCGCGCGUAGGCGGUAUGUCAAGUCAAGGGUGAAAUGCCCGGGCUCAACGUGGGAACUGCCGUGGAAACUGGCGAGCUGGAGUGUGUGGAAGGAAAGUGGAAUUCGAGGUGUAGGAGUGAAAUCCGUAGAUA